Molecule: long non-coding RNA, 1557 nt
Filed under: Ananas comosus (pineapple)
Lineage: Eukaryota; Viridiplantae; Streptophyta; Magnoliopsida; Poales; Bromeliaceae
Description: long non-coding RNA (ACOM_LNC005282)
Source: RNAcentral
CCGCGUGGCGCUGACGUGGCGCUGGCGUGGCAGGGCCAGGGACAUUUUUGCAAAUAAAUUUUACACAGGGCUAUUUUUGCAAAUAAAAUUUGUCAGGGGGCUAUUUGCAAAAAAACCCCUUAAAAAUCUAAUCUCUUCCCUUUCUCUCUCUCUAUUGUUUUUUCUAACCGAACACACACACAAAAAAAAUAUCACUUAUUUAAUUUCACCUCGAGUGGUUUGCUGGGCCAUGCAUGUGCCUCUUUUGCACCUUCUCUCUACAAUUAAAAAUCUAAUCUCUUCCCUUUCUCUCUCUAUUGUUUUUUCUAACCGAACACACACACACAAAAAUAAUUUUUCACUUAUUUAAUUUCACCUAGAGUGGUUUGCUAAUUAUUUUACGCUGCUUCAACUUUGCUCGCCUGCUUAAAUUUCAGCUUUUUUGAUGAAUUUUCUUCGCUGCAUUUGUUUUGAUUUGAUUGAGUAAAAACAAAUCAUAAAAAAAAGGUGUUCCAUCAUUAAAUCACGUCGGGCAUGAAUGUGCCUCUUUGCACCUUCUCUCUACAAUUAAAAAUCUAAUCUCUUCUCUCUCUCUCUCUAUUAUUUUUAUAACCGAACACACACACACACAAAUAAUUUUUCACUUAUUUAAUUUCACCUACAGUGGUUUGCUAAUUAUUUUACACUGCUUCAACUUUGCUCGCCUUCUUAAAUUUCAACUUUUUGAUGAAUUUUCUUUACUGCAUUUGUUUUGAUUUGAUUGAGUAAAAACAAAUCAUAAAAAAAACAGUGUUCCGUCAUUAAGUCACGUCGCCUGUUUCAUUAAAUCUGAAGUUUUAGUUACUGUAACAUUCAUGCACCUUGUGUUUGAUGCUAAACAACAUUGCUAUAUAUAGAAAAAGUUGGGGAGGAUACAUGCAUUCUAAUGAUAAGAAAGAAAGCAAAAGGACAAGGAAUAUUCUAUAUACUAUGGAAAAUUUUGUUUCAUACAUCCUGUGUUUGAUGUUAAACAAUAUUGCUAUAUAUAGAAAAAGUUGGGUAGGAUGCAUACAUCGGAAUGAUAAGAAAGAAAGCAAAAGGACAAGGAAUAUUUUAUGUAGUAUGGAAAAGUUUGUAAGAGAAAAGUUUAUCCUGUAUGUGAGAUACAAUUUUUAUUGAACUUAGAAAAGUAAAAGGCAAUUUACAAAUAAUUCAUGGUAAAAUUGGAAUGAAAACAGGAGAUUUAGAAUUUUCUGUAAGGAAUGUAGUUUUUGUUAGCAGAAAAUUUAGUGUAAGAAAAUUUUGAAAAUGUGAGAAUAUGUCGGAAUUAUUUUUUUGAUGCUAGAUUUAAAGUUUCGUGUCAUUCUGACACUCGAAAAGUGAGGACGAAACAUAAUAGCAAUCUGAUAAAGAUUUUAGUUGGUAGACCUUUCGGCGACAAAAAAUGAUUCAAAACUGAAAAUUAAGAUCACGUUCUUUUGGUUGAUUUUAAUUGAGCUUGACUUUCAAAUUUGAGCUUAAACGGACAUUCAGAAGGGCUCCAACUAAAAAUAUCAGAUUCUGAACUAAAUUAAACUAUAAGUUGUAGUUGUUGGGGAG